GAUGCCCAGUACUGCACUUGGCCUUGGGGACAGAUCAGGGAGACAGGACAGACAACCCCUCCUCUCUCAGACGGGAUCUGGAGCCAGACCGACAGGUCAGCACUCAGAGCCCCCGGCUGCUCUCUGACAGGGCAGAGCAGGGGCCGAGGGCAGAGGCAGCACCUUUCAAUGUGUCUAGAGCCCCAGCUCCAAUGACCCCGGCCACUCAAGUCCUUCAGCCCAGACCACAGAGGAAAGGCCCCCUGACUGUGGGCUGAGAUGAAGAAAGACCCUGUAGCUCUAGCCAGGCUCUAACCGGGGCAGAGCUGAGUCUCCGUUCAGGGCUGGGAGGAGCCCAGAACGGAUCUGGUCCAACAAGCCCAUUUUACAGACAUGCAGACUGAGGUCAGGACCAUGAAGACAGACUCGGCACAUGGUACACGAGCGGGACUGGACGCCAGCUCCCCGUGCCUCUCCGCUACCAUAAAACACCACGCUCUGCUCUGGAUACGUGGGGACAAAUAUCCUGAGCUGCACCCAACACACAGCGAGCAGACGUGCUCUGAUAGCGCAUCACGUGCUCUGAUAACGCAUCAUGUGCUCGUGCACGAAACCAUGACACGCACCGCACCUCCUCGCUCUGGCCUCUCAGGCACCGGGUGCGAAGGGCCACUUUCUAACAGCGAUUCGCUGGCAAGGACGCCCGGCCGGGGCUGUGCCAGAGGCUGCCCGUCUCCCCGGGUCCCGGCCAGGAUUACAAAGCCACGCUAAUCGCUUCGCGGCACUGUGACCCCGUCCACGCAGGCGGGUUCGGCAUUUAGAGAAGCCAGGCCUGUGCCCUUCGUUAGAAUAGGAACAAAGAAACGGCAACUGAAAAACAGCCAUUUCAGCUGCACUUGAGUCUCCAUGGAACCAGGACACCCCCAGCAUGUCUGCCUCAUAGAAACCAUGCAGGUUGAUGCUCAGCCACUGAGCCACACUGGCCAGGCCGUUCAAGAACCGUCACCGUGUCUGCUGGGAGGGCCAGCGUCUGGCGGGGUGAGGUGAGUGCCAGGGCGGACGGCUGGGCCGCGGGACGUGCACACUGCCCCUCGGCUCUGUCCUGUGCUGUCAGUCAGCAGCCUGUCCGUCUGUCCAAACAGUAAGGAAGCUGAUGGUGCCGGACAGACACGUGGUUUGGGCUUGGCAGUGACUCUGGCAUCAGCCACGUGCAGCCACCACGGGCCCAGCCUGACGCAGGUGCAUUUCACUCGCAGGCACAGUGACCACACACCGGCCCCGUCCACAGCCGCCGGGGUCAAGGGGAGUGGACACGCCCGUGGACAGACAGGAGGCUGACGGUGCCACCGGCUCCAGAGGCCCGGCUCCGGGCCUCCCUGUUCCCACCAGGGGAACGGAGCUUCCACGAGGGAAAGGGGGAGCUGUGGGGGGAGCACCCCAAAUGAGCACCAACGGGACACCCUGGCUCCCACCGCAGCCGCGGCCGCACCCCCAACACAUCUGUGCUCUGUCCACUCCGGGAGGGACAUCAAAGGAUUCGGCCAAACGUUCGUCAGGAAACACAUUAAGCGCUGGCCCAACUUGGUUCCACUCGGGAAAACGUGGAUCCCUCCUCAGCAGCCUGGCCCCGCAUCCGGAAAACGCCCUGGCCCUGGCCCUGGCCCUCGGCCCGCCCAGACUCCAGCAUUUGUCAUUCCCGAGCUCUGGUGACCACAUGUCUCCUGGCAGAGGGAGAAGGUCAAGGAGAGGAAAGAGUGACCCGGCGCAGGGUGGCCCCCGGCCGGGCAGGAGCCACAGCAGGAGGGACGGCGAGGCCACACCAACCCGAGGGGCAGGGGCUGGGAUCCCCCUCCAGACAGAGGCACCGAGAAUCGUCUCCAUGUGGCUUCGUUCCAGCCCGAGCCAGAUGCCGAUGACGGGGUGAGGACAUGAGAUGCAGAGCAGCUGAGCGGGCGCCCAGGGCCCGGGCUGAGCCCAGGGAGGAACCCGCCCAUGGCAGCCUUUCUCGUCUCUGCCCAGCAGAGGGGCUGCAGGGGACAGGUCAGAGCGGGAGGGGACAGGUC
Myotis brandtii (Brandt's bat) is the source of this 2042-nucleotide long non-coding RNA. RefSeq lists it as uncharacterized. Lineage: Eukaryota; Metazoa; Chordata; Mammalia; Chiroptera; Vespertilionidae. The record is from RefSeq and is a predicted model, not a curated record. The transcript has 3 exons.